This 272-nucleotide unclassified non-coding RNA is filed under the name plant metagenome. RNAcentral describes it as "partial contains small subunit ribosomal RNA, internal transcribed spacer 1, and 5.8S ribosomal RNA". The record is from RNAcentral.
UUUCCGUAGGUGAACCUGCGGGAGGAUCAUUAAUGAGUUGUCAUGGGGUUCGAUGCUGGCAGCCAGUUUUUGGAUGCAUGUGCUUGCCCUAACAAUCAUCUUCUUCCAGACACCUGUGCACAUUUUUGAGGGAGUCUUGAGUUGGUUGCCGCUCUUGGGUGAUUUUCUCACAUUCCCUUAAAUCAUUAUACGCUAUUAACAAUGUUGAACGUGCUCUGUGCCGCAAGGCCAUUAAUAUAAUACAACUUUUAACAACGGAUCUCUUGGCUCUC